GACGAACGCUGGCGGCGUGCUUAACACAUGCAAGUCGAACGGAAAGGCCCUGCUUUUGUGGGGUGCUCGAGUGGCGAACGGGUGAGUAACACGUGAGUAACCUGCCCUUGACUUUGGGAUAACUUCAGGAAACUGGGGCUAAUCCCGGUUAGGAGCUCCUGCUGCAUGGUGGGGGUUGGAAAUUUUCGGCGGUUGGGGAUGGACUCGCGGCUUAUCAGCUUGUUGGUGGGGUAGUGGCUUACCAAGGCUUUGACGGGUAGCCGGCCUGAGAGGGUGACCGGCCACAUUGGGACUGAGAUACGGCCCAGACUCCUACGGGAGGCAGCAGUGGGGAAUAUUGCACAAUGGGCGGAAGCCUGAUGCAGCAACGCCGCGUGCGGGAUGACGGCCUUCGGGUUGUAAACCGCUUUCGCCUGUGACGAAGCGUGAGUGACGGUAAUGGGUAAAGAAGCACCGGCUAACUACGU
Molecule: ribosomal RNA, 467 nt
Filed under: uncultured bacterium
Lineage: Bacteria
Description: partial 16S ribosomal RNA
Rfam family: Bacterial small subunit ribosomal RNA
Source: RNAcentral